RNAcentral lists this ribosomal RNA (484 nucleotides) under uncultured bacterium. RNAcentral describes it as "partial 16S ribosomal RNA". It matches the Rfam family "Bacterial small subunit ribosomal RNA", at positions 30 to 507 of the family's 1533-position model. The record is from RNAcentral.
AUUGAACGCUGGCGGCAGGCCUAACACAUGCAAGUCGAGCGGAUGAAGGGAGCUUGCUCCUGGAUUCAGCGGCGGACGGGUGAGUAAUGCCUAGGAAUCUGCCUGGUAGUGGGGGAUAACGUCCGGAAACGGGCGCUAAUACCGCAUACGUCCUGAGGGAGAAAGUGGGGGAUCUUCGGACCUCACGCUAUCAGAUGAGCCUAGGUCGGAUUAGCUAGUUGGUGGGGUAAAGGCCUACCAAGGCGACGAUCCGUAACUGGUCUGAGAGGAUGAUCAGUCACACUGGAACUGAGACACGGUCCAGACUCCUACGGGAGGCAGCAGUGGGGAAUAUUGGACAAUGGGCGAAAGCCUGAUGCAGCCAUGCCGCGUGUGUGAAGAAGGUCUUCGGAUUGUAAAGCACUUUAAGUUGGGAGGAAGGGCAGUAAGUGUAUACCUUGCUGUUUUGACGUUACCAACAGAAUAAGCACCGGCUAACUUCGUG